RNAcentral lists this ribosomal RNA (492 nucleotides) under uncultured bacterium. RNAcentral's name for it is "partial 16S ribosomal RNA". It matches the Rfam family "Bacterial small subunit ribosomal RNA", at positions 29 to 507 of the family's 1533-position model. The record is from RNAcentral.
AGUGAACGCUGGCGGUAGGCCUAACACAUGCAAGUCGAACGGCAGCACAGUAAGAGCUUGCUCUUACGGGUGGCGAGUGGCGGACGGGUGAGGAAUACAUCGGAAUCUACUUUUUCGUGGGGGAUAACGUAGGGAAACUUACGCUAAUACCGCAUACGACCUACGGGUGAAAGCAGGGGAUCUUCGGACCUUGCGCGAUUGAAUGAGCCGAUGUCGGAUUAGCUAGUUGGCGGGGUAAAGGCCCACCAAGGCGACGAUCCGUAGCUGGUCUGAGAGGAUGAUCAGCCACACUGGAACUGAGACACGGUCCAGACUCCUACGGGAGGCAGCAGUGGGGAAUAUUGGACAAUGGGCGCAAGCCUGAUCCAGCCAUACCGCGUGGGUGAAGAAGGCCUUCGGGUUGUAAAACCCUUUUGUUGGGAAAGAAAAGCAGCAGGUUAAUACCCCGCUGUUCUGUCGGUACCCAAAGAAUAAGCACCGGCUAACUUCGUG